RNAcentral lists this ribosomal RNA (686 nucleotides) under Dictyocoela sp. RNAcentral describes it as "partial small subunit ribosomal RNA". It matches the Rfam family "Microsporidia small subunit ribosomal RNA", at positions 352 to 1026 of the family's 1311-position model. The record is from RNAcentral. Lineage: Eukaryota; Fungi; Microsporidia.
CGUGUAAAGAACGUACUAAUAACUGGAGGUCAAGUCUGGUGCCAGCAUCCGCGGUAAAUUCCAGCUCCAGGGGUGUCUAUGAUGAUUGCUGCGAUUAAAAAAGUCCGUAGUCAAGCUGACUGAACUGACCUGCAAUGUGAUUGAUUAAGGAACGAGCAGGGUUAGGAAAGCAGAGAAUUAGGAGCGACCGAGGGCUAGAGUAUUGAAUGGCGAGAGGUGAAAUUUGAUGACCCAUUCAGGAGUGACAAAGGCGAAGGCACUAGUCAAGGGCGAAUCCGAUGAUCAAGGACGUAGGCUAGAGUUUCGAAAACGAUUAGAGACCGGAGUAGUUCUAGCAGUAAACUAUGCCGACGCCGCGAUAUAGUUUUUUGUGGCUGUGUUGCGGAAGAGAAAUCAAGUAAGGCUUUGGGGAGAGUACGCGCGCAAGCGAUAAAUUUAAAGGAAAUUGACGGAGGAACACCACAAGGAGUGGAGUGUGCGGCUUAAUUUGACUCAACGCGGGACAGCUUACCAGGCCCGAUAAUCGAGCGAGCGUUGUACGCGAUAGAUUAAAGAGUGGUGCAUGGCUGCUAUCGACAGUUGGGGUGACCUUAGGGUUAAUUCCGGCAAGUAGUGAGACCCCUGCAGAUAGUGGACAGGUAUUUUUAAAAUACAGGAAGGAAGGGACAAGAGCAGGUCAGUGAUGC